UGGGGAAUAUUGGACAAUGGGCGCAAGCCUGACGGAGCAACGCCGCGUGAGUGAUGAAGGUCUUCGGAUCGUAAAACUCUGUUAUUAGGGAAGAACAAAUGUGUAAGUAACUAUGCACGUCUUGACGGUACCUAAUCAGAAAGCCACGGCUAACUACGUGCCAGCAGCCGCGGUAAUACGUAGGUGGCAAGCGUUAUCCGGAAUUAUUGGGCGUAAAGCGCGCGUAGGCGGUUUUUUAAGUCUGAUGUGAAAGCCCACGGCUCAACCGUGGAGGGUCAUUGGAAACUGGAAAACUUGAGUGCAGAAGAGGAAAGUGGAAUUCCAUGUGUAGCGGUGAAAUGCGCAGAGAUAUGGAGGAACACCAGUGGCGAAGGCGACUUUCUGGUCUGUAACUGACGCUGAUGUGCGAAAGCGUGGGGAUCAAACAGG
Molecule: ribosomal RNA, 429 nt
Filed under: Actinomycetes bacterium
Lineage: Bacteria; Bacillati; Actinomycetota; Actinomycetes
Description: Actinobacteria bacterium partial 16S ribosomal RNA
Rfam family: Bacterial small subunit ribosomal RNA
Source: RNAcentral